AUACAAACCCAACAGGGAGAUACCGUGACCACAAAGGCAGUUUGCCCAGGGGAGGCUUAUCUAUUGCACUUAUGUGUGCGGACCCUCGUGAUUUCCCAAAUGUGGGAGUCUCAACUGCAUAUUUGUGGCAGCAAGGGACUGCGUUUGUGUUUUCCCUGA
Sorex araneus (European shrew) is the source of this 159-nucleotide small nuclear RNA. RefSeq annotates it as U1 spliceosomal RNA. The record is from RefSeq and is a predicted model, not a curated record. The transcript has a single exon. Lineage: Eukaryota; Metazoa; Chordata; Mammalia; Eulipotyphla; Soricidae.